CCCAUCAUUUUUGCAUGCAGCCUCCCA
This 27-nucleotide non-coding RNA is filed under the name Mus musculus (house mouse). Lineage: Eukaryota; Metazoa; Chordata; Mammalia; Rodentia; Muridae. The record is from RNAcentral.